GCGGCCUAUCAGCUUGUUGGUGAGGUAGUGGCUCACCAAGGCGACGACGGGUAGCCGGCCUGAGAGGGCGACCGGCCACACUGGGACUGAGACACGGCCCAGACUCCUACGGGAGGCAGCAGUGGGGAAUAUUGCACAAUGGGCGAAAGCCUGAUGCAGCGACGCCGCGUGAGGGAUGAAGGCCUUCGGGUUGUAAACCUCUUUCAGUAGGGAAGAAGCGAAAGUGACGGUACCUACAGAAGAAGCACCGGCUAACUACGUGCCAGCAGCCGCGGUAAUACGUAGGGUGCGAGCGUUGUCCGGAAUUAUUGGGCGUAAAGAGCUUGUAGGCGGUUUGUCGCGUCUGCUGUGAAAAUCCGGGGCUCAACCCCGGACUUGCAGUGGGUACGGGCAGACUAGAGUGUGGUAGGGGAGACUGGAAUUCCU
Molecule: ribosomal RNA, 426 nt
Filed under: uncultured Actinomycetes bacterium
Lineage: Bacteria; Bacillati; Actinomycetota; Actinomycetes
Description: bacterial SSU rRNA
Rfam family: Bacterial small subunit ribosomal RNA
Source: RNAcentral